Non-coding RNA from Macrostomum lignano, 70 nucleotides. The record is from Rfam. Lineage: Eukaryota; Metazoa; Platyhelminthes; Macrostomidae.
GGGGUUGUAGCCUACUGGUUAAAGCGUCGGACUCAUGACUUGAAUGUCGGGGGUUCGAUUCCCGAUCCCA